RNAcentral lists this ribosomal RNA (1152 nucleotides) under Clostridioides difficile. Its description in RNAcentral is "partial 23S ribosomal RNA". It matches the Rfam family "Bacterial large subunit ribosomal RNA", at positions 932 to 2101 of the family's 2925-position model. The record is from RNAcentral. Lineage: Bacteria; Bacillati; Bacillota; Clostridia; Peptostreptococcales; Peptostreptococcaceae.
GCACCUACCGAAGACUAUCAAACUCCGAAUGCCGUCAUCUUAUACUUGGGAGUCAGACUGUGGGUGAUAAGAUUCAUAGUCGAAAGGGCAACAGCCCAGAUCGUCAGCUAAGGUCCCUAAAUGUAAGUUAAGUGGUAAAGGAUGUGGGAUUGCACAGACAACCAGGAUGUUGGCUUAGAAGCAGCCACUCAUUCAAAGAGUGCGUAAUAGCUCACUGGUCGAGUGAUCCUGCGCCGAAGAUUUCCGGGGCUAAAACUUACUACCGAAGCUACGGCAUCAGUAAUGAUGGGUAGGGGAGCUUCCCAUACGGGUUGAAGCAUGACCGUAAGGACAUGUGGACAGUAUGGGAGUGAGAAUGUUGGCAUGAGUAGCGAGAUGUGGGUGAGAAUCCCACAGGCCGUAAACCCAAGGUUUCCAGGGGAAGGUUCGUCCGCCCUGGGUUAGUCGGGACCUAAGCUGAGGCCGAAAGGCGUAGGUGAUGGACAACAGGUUGAUAUUCCUGUACUACCGAUAACCGUUUGAGAGAAGGGAUGACACAGUAGGAUAAGCUAAGCACACUGUUGGUUAUGUGUGCCCAAGCAUUGAGGCAGUCAAAGUAGGCAAAUCCGCUUUGAUAAUGCUGGGAUGUGAUGGGGAGCGAAAUUUAGUAGCGAAGUAGCUGAUUUCACACUGUCAAGAAAAGUCUCUAUCGAGGUUAAAGGUACCCGUACCGCAAACCGACACAGGUGGGUGAGGAGAGUAUCCUAAGGCCAGCGAGAGAACUGUUGUUAAGGAACUCGGCAAAAUGACCCCGUAACUUAGGGAUAAGGGGUGCCACCAUCAGGUGGCCGCAGAGAAUAGGCCCAAGCGACUGUUUACCAAAAACAUAGGUUUCUGCUAAGUCGCAAGACGAUGUAUAGGAGCUGACGCCUGCCCGGUGCUGGAAGGUUAAGGGGAUCUGUUAGAGCAAUCGAAGCAGUGAACUUAAGCCCCAGUAAACGGCGGCCGUAACUAUAACGGUCCUAAGGUAGCGAAAUUCCUUGUCGGGUAAGUUCCGACCCGCACGAAAGGCGUAACGAUUUGGGCACUGUCUCAACAACAGACUCGGUGAAAUUGUAAUUCCGGUGAAGAUGCCGGAUACCUGCGACAGGACGGAAAGACCCCAUGGAGCUU